RNAcentral lists this ribosomal RNA (493 nucleotides) under uncultured bacterium. RNAcentral describes it as "partial 16S ribosomal RNA". It matches the Rfam family "Bacterial small subunit ribosomal RNA", at positions 28 to 506 of the family's 1533-position model. The record is from RNAcentral.
GACGAACGCUGGCGGCGUGCUUAACACAUGCAAGUCGAACGGAAAGGCCUGCUUUCCCUUGUGGAUUGCGGGUACUCGAGUGGCGAACGGGUGAGUAACACGUGAGUGAUCUGCCCCCAACUUGGGUAUAAGCCUGGGAAACUGGGUCUAAUUCCCGAUAGGACUGCAGGGUGGUGCCUGUGGUGGAAAACGAUUUUCUAGUGGUUGGGGAUGAGCUCGCGGCCUAUCAGCUUGUUGGUGGGGUAAUGGCCUACCAAGGCGGCGACGGGUAGCCGGCCUGAGAGGGUGGACGGCCACAUUGGGACUGAGAUACGGCCCAGACUCCUACGGGAGGCAGCAGUGGGGAAUAUUGCACAAUGGGCGGAAGCCUGAUGCAGCGACGCCGCGUGGGGGAUGACGGCCUUCGGGUUGUAAACUCCUUUCGACCGCGAGGAAGCCACCUGGUUGGAAGGGUGGUGACGGUAGUGGUAGAAGAAGCACCGGCUAACUACGC